RNAcentral lists this long non-coding RNA (1090 nucleotides) under Homo sapiens (human). Its description in RNAcentral is "PREDICTED lncRNA (TCONS_00231779)". Lineage: Eukaryota; Metazoa; Chordata; Mammalia; Primates; Hominidae. The record is from RNAcentral.
GCUCAAGCGAUUUUCCUGCCUCAGCCUCCCGAGUGGCUGGGAUUACAGGCGCACACCACCAUGCCCAGCUAACUUUUGUAUUUUUAGUAGAGACGGGGUUUCCCCAUGUUGACCAGGCUGGUCUCAAACUCCUGAUCUCAGGUGAUCCACCUGCCUCAGCCUACCAAAGUGCUGGGAUUACAGCUCUUUUCUUGGAAGAGAAGAAACCGUUUCAAAAAAUUAUUAAGGGAGCAACAAAGGGCUGUUUUGUACAUUCAUUACAUUCACGAGCCCCAGCAGCUACUAUUAAUGAGUGUCUGGAAUAUGUUCCUGGCAUUUCACCUACCCUCUCUCCAAUCCUUCCAAGAAACUCACAAAGCAGGGCUUUUUCUUGAACUUCUCUUCCUCACAACAGUUAAAUCAUCCAUUUAAAGAUGUCAAACAACCUCCGUGUUCUAAGAUGCUGGACCCCUGAAUAUGGAGGGCCAACUACACUAGAAACACACACGCUAGCUGAGAAAGAUGGUGGCUUAAGGGACACAGCAUGUACAACCUCACAUAGAGUUCCUGACCAGACAAGACUUGCUGGAAAUUUCCCAGGAUCUUCCUUCCUUAAGCAUCCAUCAUGGGAAGCCACCUUGCCCUAGGGAGAGCUCCUGACCUAGGGUCAGGAAUAUAUUAAGGAAGACAGCAAUUAAUACAUUCAAAAAUAAUAAUAAUUACAAAUUAUGUCUCUGUGUUAGGAAAACUUGGAUAAGCAGGUCCAUAGAAAUUCCUCUGCUAGCCCUGUCUCCUGGAAUUUCUACAUAAUGGCAUAUCCUCAGUUUGAAUAGCUCUCUGGUUCCAGUUUGAAGCUGAAAAGGUUAAAUUCUACCUGAAGGAUGAAAACAACCAACAUUCUGUGCCAAGACAGUCAGGAGGGCAACCAUGUUUCCUGGUGGAGCCUCUGGAACCACUCAAGCCAAGAUGACCGGGGGUUUGGCUGGGAGGAGAUGGGGAAACUACAGACCCUACAGAUGGUUUCCUGUACCAUGAGGUUAAGCCUGGGGGCAGGAGAGGCUGUACCUUAGUUCCUUCAUCUGUAAAAUAAAGUAACAUAGUACCUACCUCA